UACAGAGGGUGCGAGCGUUGUCCGGAAUCACUGGGCGUAAAGGGCGCGUAGGUGGCCCGAUAAGUAGGGGGUGAAAUCUCGCGGCUCAACUGCGAGGCUGCCUCCUAAACUGCCGGGCUCGAGCAGAGUAGAGGCAGGUGGAAUUCCCGGUGUAGCGGUGGAAUGCGUAGAGAUCGGGAAGAACAUCGGUGGCGAAGGCGGCCUGCUGGGCUCUUGCUGACACUGAGGCGCGACAGCGUGGGGAGCAAACAGG
RNAcentral lists this ribosomal RNA (253 nucleotides) under uncultured bacterium. Its description in RNAcentral is "partial 16S ribosomal RNA". It matches the Rfam family "Bacterial small subunit ribosomal RNA", at positions 524 to 776 of the family's 1533-position model. The record is from RNAcentral.